RNA transcript from Cucumis melo (muskmelon), 4014 nucleotides. It is a transcript of the gene named homeobox-DDT domain protein RLT3, with no coding region annotated. The record is from RefSeq and is a predicted model, not a curated record. Lineage: Eukaryota; Viridiplantae; Streptophyta; Magnoliopsida; Cucurbitales; Cucurbitaceae. The transcript is spliced from 17 exons.
GGGAUCUUAAAGCAAUAAAGAUAUUUCUUCUUGUAAAACCCAAAACCCUACUUCCUUUCUUCCACUCUCAUUCCCCUGUUUGUUAUCUCUUACUUUCUUUAAAUUCCUCUUUACUCUGUUCUUUCUUCACCAUAACACUCUUCAGUUCCCUUCCGUUUCAAUUCAGUCACUCACACUGGAAACUCACUGAAUUCAACCUACCUUCAUCAUUUGAGGAACAACCACUGUUGCAUUUCUGCUUCACACUAUCUACCUAGAGAAGUGGAACUUAGGAGGAAGAUGCCUCAACGGGCCCAAUCCCUACAAUUAUACUGUACAUGAUUUUUGUGGGAACUGACCAAAGAAAUUCAUGAUCUUCCAAAUGAAUCAAAGAGAAGCCAAAGCGAGAAAGGUUUCAAAGCAAGCUAGUUCAGUCUCAGCAGAUUGCUGUGGGGAGAUGGCUGCUCCGAUUAAAACUCAUGGUAUUGGAAAAGGUCUGAUGACAGUUUGGCAGGCAACGAAUCCUGAUGCUGGGAAUUUUCCCGCCGGAACCAUUUUUGGUGGCCGAAAAUUUAUGGAUGUAUCUCCAGUUUCAACUUCUUCAUCUGAACAUUCAUUGCGGCAAGGGAAACGACCACCACGACAAGCUAAAGUGAAGGGAAGAGUGGGAUCCAAAGUACAGGGAAAGAGAAAGCCAUUAAUUAAAACCAGACGGGUGGAAUGUAAUGAAGAAAAGAGUCAAAAGCAAUUAUGCUAUGAAAAAUGUGAACUGGCUUGGGAAGGAAUUAAAUCUCAAGAAUGCAUAGACCAAUUUGCUGUACUGGUUGAUGAUGAAGAGUUGGAGCUAAGAGAGUUGCAAGCAAGAAAACAUAUUAUCACUUCUUGUGAUCACUUCAUGACCAAUGGUGUUAAUAGUUGCUCGCUUUGUAAAGAUAUGCUGGGCAAGUUUCCUCCAAAUUCUGUGAAGAUGAAACAACCAUUUGGCAUGCAACCUUGGGAUUCAUCUCGAGACAUCGGCAAAAAACUAUUCAAGGUCUUCAAUUUUCUUUGUACAUACGCCAUAACAUUAGGCGUAUGCUCCUUCACCCUUGAUGAGUUUGCUGAAUCAUUUCAUGACAAGGAUUCAUUCUUACUUGGAAAGGUUCACGUGGCCCUUCUCAAACUACUAUUUUGUGAUAUUGAGGCAGAACUUAGCAAUGCAUAUUUGACUCCUCUGAGCAAGUCUUGCAAAUUUCUUGCAUUAGUUCAUUCGCUUGGAAGUAAGGAUUUUGCUCUUGAGGUAUGGAAGAAAUCAUUGAACCCUUUAACAUGGACCGAAAUACUACGUCAAGUGUUGGUUGCAGCUGGUUUUUGUUCUAAGCAAGAUGCAUUGCAGAAGGAAACCCUUUCUAAGGAAAUGGACCUUGUGUCUAAAUAUGGUCUGCAACGUGGGACUUUGAAGGGUGAAUUAUUUAUAAUUUUAUCAGAGCAAGGAAACAAUGGGAUGAAGGUUUCUGAUUUGAUAAGGGAGUCCAAGAUUGUGGAUCUGAACGUUGCCGGCACUACUGAAGAACUGGAGCUUCAAAUAUGUUCCACUUUGUCCAGUGAUAUAACUUUAUUUGAAAAGAUAUCCCCAUCUGCAUAUCGUCUCCGGCCUAGUCCUGCUACAAUGGAUGUUGAUGAAUUUCAGUCGGACACUGAUUUUGGUAGUGUAGAUGAUAUAGCAGCUAGUGCGUCAAUAUGCAGCAGUAGUUAUGAUUCUGAAUGUGAUUCAGAGAAAUUGUGUGCUCAAAGAUUUAAGAUUCAGAAAUCCAAAAAUGAAAACCCAACUGUUUCCACAGAGAUUGACGUAAGUCAUCCAGGUGAAGCGUGGCUGUUAGGACUGAUGGAAGAUGAAUAUUCAGGUUUAAGCAUUGAAGAGAAGUUGAAUGCAUUGGUGGCUUUAAUUGAUCUUCUUUCUUACGGAUCAAGUAUUAGGCCAAAGGGUACGUCAACAUCUUGUGGCAUUGUUGAUUAUGCUUCCAACAUUCAACAUUAUGGUUCUGGAGCAAAAAUAAAGAAGUCUUCUGUCAGGGGACACAACCUGUCAAGGUCAUUCUUGACUAGCUCAGGACAAUUGCAUAGUGCAAGUAUCAGAUAUGCUUCAUUGGAAAACCAUCCUAUUGAUUCAGCCACAGCAAUCUCCAAGUUCCAAGAGAAUUCAGGAAGUCAAGUAAAGGGCGCAGACAAGAUGAAAAAUGCUAUUUACUUGCAUUCAAUGCAAUCUAUCUUUUUAGGUUCUGAUCGUAGGUAUAAUAGAUAUUGGCUUUUUCUUGGUCCUUGUGAUGCGUCUGAUCCUGGUCAUAGGAGGGUUUAUUUUGAAUCUUCGGAGGAUGGGCAUUGGGAAGUGAUUGAUACAAAAGAGGCUUUGUGUGCCUUGUUAUCUGUGUUGGAUGAUAGAGGUAAGCGGGAAGCUUUCCUCAUUGAAUCUCUGGAGAAGCGUGUCGUAUUUCUUUGUGAAGCCAUGUCAAAUAAGAGAACUAGGAAUCUUGUAAGCAGGAGCUUUACGCAAUCUGAACAAUCUGAUAUGGACAGGAUAAGAGAAAGCAGCUAUUCUCCUGUGUCUGAUGUUGAUAAUAGCCUAUACCAAGCUGAGUCUACUGGUGAUACUUUGCCUUUAAGUAGUGCUAUAGUUAUUGAAGUUAAAAGAAAGGGAGAAGAAGAAAAGCAAAGCUGGAAUCGUCUCCAGGAAUUUGAUUCAUGGGUAUGGAAUUUCUUCUAUCAUGCACUUUAUGCCGUAAGGCAUGGUAGAAGGUCUUAUCUUGAUUCACUUGCUAGAUGUGAACGUUGCCAUGAUUUGUAUUGGAGAGAUGAGAAACAUUGUAAAGUUUGCCAUAUUACCUUUGAGCUUGACUUGAACCUGGAGGAAAGAUAUACCAUUCAUAGGGCAACUUGUAGAGAAAAAGAGGAUGAUGAUGUAUUUCCAAAGCAUAAGGUUUUAUCAUCACAGUUUCAAGCAUUGAAAGCUGGAGUUCAUGCAAUCGAGUCUAUAAUGCCUGAAGGUGCUAUGAUUGGAGCUUGGACUAAAUCUGCUCAUAAGUUAUGGAUUAAACGGCUCAGGCGUACUUCGUCAUUGGCAGAACUUAUGCAGGUGGUUGCUGAUUUUGUUGGUGCCAUCAAUGAGGAUUGGUUUUGUAAUCUCCCAGAAGACCCUUCUGUUCGUAUUCUAGAUACUUUAGCGUCUUUUGCAUCCUUACCCCAAACAACCUCUGCUCUUGCGUUCUGGUUGGUUAAAUUGGAUGCCUUCCUUUAUUGCUAUGUGUGGAAGGACCUGAAAAGCUGCUAGAAGCUGCCCGCAGAGAACAUGUACAGAACAGAACUAACGACCUCUUGGUGAAGUUCCUAUUUGGCUUGAGUAAAAAAAGAGAAUUGUCGUAGGGUUUGAUCUAGUAGCUCAUUUGGAUAGCUGAGAGCACAGUUCGAUCUUGCACAUUUCAUUCAUUUCUACACAUCAAUUGUCAUACAAGUUCACAAUUUUACGUGAAAGAUGUAAAAAGUAGAGCCUAGAGAUAGAUGACAAUCCCAACCCUAUUUGAAGAAUUUGUACAGCUUACAUGCAAAACUAAACCAUAUGUCAGCACUUGACCAAAACAUUUUGUAGCUUGUUGGCUAAGUGGGGCAACCCUUGUUGGUGCAAGAGAAGAUAGGGAACAAAAACAGAUAUGGUUACAAUCCAAUGUGCGAGGUAAAAUAUUUUAAAACCAUAUGACCACGUUUAUCACUUGCAAUGGGAAGAAACGCAAUGCUCAUAUUAGGGGAUUUAAGACAGAUUUUUGGUGCAGCUGUCUUGAGCAUUAUUCAUUUAUAGAUUCAUUAAGUUUUGGCAUUGCCUUGGCCCAAGCAGUGAGCAAAUUGUUGUAGUGUUCAUGUGGCCAUAUCAUUGUAUGUAAUACAUAGACAAUUUCACCUCCAAUGAUUUAAAAUAGAGGUAAAGAAAUUUUUGCAAAUGUGUAUUUGCCACUUGCCUGGAGGACCCACUCAUAAUAAGAUAACCAAUCUGCUUCCCUUUGUGGUGUA